GAGUUUGAUCCUGGCUCAGAUUGAACGCUGGCGGCAGGCCUAACACAUGCAAGUCGAGCGGUAGAGAGAAGCUUGCUUCUCUUGAGAGCGGCGGACGGGUGAGUAAUGCCUAGGAAUCUGCCUGGUAGUGGGGGAUAACGCUCGGAAACGGACGCUAAUACCGCAUACGUCCUACGGGAGAAAGCAGGGGACCUUCGGGCCUUGCGCUAUCAGAUGAGCCUAGGUCGGAUUAGCUAGUUGGUGAGGUAAUGGCUCACCAAGGCGACGAUCCGUAACUGGUCUGAGAGGAUGAUCAGUCACACUGGAACUGAGACACGGUCCAGACUCCUACGGGAGGCAGCAGUGGGGAAUAUUGGACAAUGGGCGAAAGCCUGAUCCAGCCAUGCCGCGUGUGUGAAGAAGGUCUUCGGAUUGUAAAGCACUUUAAGUUGGGAGGAAGGGCAGUAAAUUAUACUUUGCUGUUUUGACGUUACCGACAGAAUAAGCACGGCUAACUCUGUGCCAGCCG
This 508-nucleotide ribosomal RNA is filed under the name uncultured bacterium. Its description in RNAcentral is "bacterial SSU rRNA". It matches the Rfam family "Bacterial small subunit ribosomal RNA", at positions 9 to 514 of the family's 1533-position model. The record is from RNAcentral.